Pieris brassicae (large cabbage white) is the source of this 12193-nucleotide long non-coding RNA. RefSeq lists it as uncharacterized. The transcript has 4 exons. Lineage: Eukaryota; Metazoa; Arthropoda; Insecta; Lepidoptera; Pieridae. The record is from RefSeq and is a predicted model, not a curated record.
AUAUUUUGUGUAAUAUAUAUAAAAAAUAUAUGGGAACUUAUAUUAUCUAUCCAAAAACAUAAAAGAAUUUAACUUAUAAUAUAAGAUGGAUACAAACAUUUCUUUAAUUAAAGAUAUAUCAUAUUUAGUACCAUAAGUGCCUUAUAGAAUUAAUAUAACAAUAUGAAAUUGAGGUGUAAAUAAGAAAUUUUAAAUAAAGGAUAACCAGAGAAGCAUAUUGCCUAAAACCUAUACAAAAAUGCCGACUACCAAUUACUAUAAGAACUUGGGUAUACUGUAAGGAAUAGUUAAAAAACUAUUAUCUACUGUAAAUGAUAAGAUCUAAACCUAACAAGUAUAGGCAAGAUGACAAUAAUGACCUAACUGAGGUAGAACACAACAAAUAUUGAUAUUUAUGCAAGCAAUGGAGAAACUUCAACCUUGAAAUCUUAAAAAGCAUUUAGAUUAUAUUUGGAUAAUAUUGAAAGAAUAGUAACACUUAUACCUUUAUACAUAUAGUGCAAAAUAUUUAAAGAAUUCACUAGAUAAUUCGAUAAAUACAGUUGUAACACAACAUUGGUUGAUGCAUAAUUCUUGUAGCUUAAUGAAAUAUCUACCAUGUAUAAAAGGUUAAAUUAUAAUACAUAUAAUACUGAUUUGUUUAAAUUAUAACACAAAAACAUACCACAAUAUGUGACCAAUAAUUAAGAUACAAUAUGCUUGUGAGCAAACAUGAAAUUAAAAGUGAAAACCAUUCUAUUAUACUAAAAAAGGAAAACCUAAAUAAAAUUGUAAAUGAAGAAACUCGUCCCUGUAGGACGUGAUUUUAUAAGAUAACUUACAGACAACAGCAGACAUCUGAAUUUUAAACAAAUUUAAAAAAAAAACAACUGCCACAUUAUACACAUAGCCAUGACGUUAACUAAUGAACAUAAGUAUUUAUGCUGACGCAAUACGUAUACUAACGAUUACGUAACGUAUAACUAACGAUAAACAUUAAGGAAGAAGCAAUGUCAAAAAUAUGAUAAGCAAAGAUAAUAACAUAUAUAUAUAAUGCUUUGGGGGUAUAAUUUAUAAAACCUACAAUAGCAACUUCUUACAAAGAUGAUUCAAACAAAUCUUAAUUUUGGUUAGAAGUUAGUUCUAAGUUAAUUGUAAAAGAAGUAUGAAUAAAUUAUCAAAGAAUAACAUUUUAUCAGAAGCAAGAAAUUAUUAACAUCGCUGUAAAAAAUGGCUUUCUUAACGUGGAUAUCUAUUUUAAAGCAAUUAACCAAAGUGUUACGAGGAAAUACAAAUAAUAAAACACAAGUUGUUUCUUAUAUGACAAAGAAUUAAAUUGAUUUUUUAUGAUGCUAAAAAAUAUUUUAAAGACUUGAAAACCUUGAAGUAAAUGUUACCAGUUUGAUAUUUAAAAUGUAUGAUAUUAGCUAAAUCAUUAUACUGAUAAAUUUACAACAUGUUAAACAAGUAAGCCUUUGCCCGUAGGCACAAAGAAUCUGUUAUCGUAGAUUAAGAAAAACAAUGGUUAUAAUGUAUAUAUUUAUUAUAUGUUAUUUUUCUGAUUAUAAGGCUAUAAAUUAAUAUAAAUAAAUAAACAAGUUUGAGAAAACAAAAUUUUAAGGCAUGGUAACAGCAUGGUAACAAUGUCUAUUUUGAUUUAAAAUAUUCCAUAGAUUUUAAUAUUGUGUAGAAACUACUAAUGUAUUAAACAACCUAUAAUGUAUCGAAUAUAAAUAUUUUUUUAUGUUUCGAUAACUAUUAUGUUUUAAAUCAAUUGGCAGUAAGUAUCAAGUACUUAAAAAACCGAGCAGUAGCAAUUAAAAACAUCGUGAUGAAGCAAUAACCAUAAUUUAGGAAAGGAAUGGCCUUAUAGGAAUGAGGUUUUAUUGGAACUGGAAAACUUGAGUACUUUAAGUAUAUAAUGGCGAAAAUUUAACUACGACAUCGUAAAUAAUGAAAAAAUAAUAGGAAUAAGUUGCGUAACAAAAAUUAAUCCAGUAUUUAAUGAGACCAGAACAGUAGCAAAUAAAAAGCUUUGAUAUAAGAAAAAAUCAAAAUGUUAUAUGAAACAGUUGCGGUAAAGAAAAUAGGUUUUAUUGGAACUGGAAUAAUCGAGUCCUUUAGAACAGCAGUAGCAAUAAAAAACUUAGAACAUAAGCAAUAAAAAACUUAGAACAUAAGCAAUAAUGAAAAAAUAAUUGGAAUAAGUUGCGUAACAAAAAUUAAUCAAGUAUUUUAUGAGACCAGACCAUUAGCAAUUAAAAAUCUUUGAAAUGAGAAAUAAUAAAAAAAGUAUAGGUAAAAGUUGCGUUACUGAAAUUAGGUUUUAUUGGAACUGGAAUAAUCGAGUGCUUUAGAACAGCAGUAGCAAUAAAAAACUUAGAACAUAAGCAAUAAUGAAAAAAUAAUAAGAAUAAGUUGCGUAACAAAAAGUAAUCCAGUAUUUUAUGAGACCAGAACAGUAGCAAAUAAAAAGCUUUGAAUAAGAAAUAAUGAAAAAAGUAUAGGUAAAAGUUGCGUUACUGAAAUGAGGUUUUAUUGGAACUGGAAUAAUCGAGUGCUUUAGAACAGCAGUAGCAAUAAAAAAUUUAGAACAUAAGCAAUAAUGAAAAAAUAAUACGAAUAAGUUGCGUAACAGAAAUUAAUCAAGUAUUUUAUGAGAACAGACCAUUAGCAAUUAAAAAACUUUGAUAUAAGCAGUAAUGAAAAAAUUGAUAAAAGUUGCGUUACAGAAAUUGGGUUUUAUUGGAACUGGAAUAAUCGAGUGCUUUAGAAGGGCAGUAGCAACAAAAAAAGUUUAGAACAUAAGCAAUAAUGAAAAUAUGGGUAAAAGUUGCGUUACUGAAAUUAGGUUUUAUUGGAACUGGAAUAAACAUAGACAAUACUAUAAUCAAGUAUUUUAUAAGAACAGAACAUUAGCAAUUAAAAAACUUUGAUAUAAGCAGUAAUGAAAAAAUUGAUAAAAGUUGCGUUACAGAAAUUGGGUUUUAUUGGAACUGGAAUAAUCGAGUGCUUUAGAAGAGCAGUAGCAACAAAAAAAGUUUAGAACAUAAGCCAAAAUGAAAAUAUGGGUAAAAGUUGCGUUACUGAAAUUAGGUUUUAUUGGAACUAGAAUAAACAUAGACAAUACUAUAAUCAAGUAUUUUAUGAGAACAGACCAUUAGCAAUUAAAAAACUUUGAUAUAAGCAGUAAUGAAAAAAUUGAUAAAAGUUGCGUUACAGAAAUUGGGUUUUAUUGGAACUGGAAUAAUCGAGUGCUUUAGAAGAGCAGUAGCAACAAAAAAAGUUUAGAACAUAAGCAAUAAUGAAAAUAUGGGUAAAAGUUGCGUUACUGAAAUUAGGUUUUAUUGGAACUGGAAUAAACAUAGACAAUACUAUAAUCAAGUAUUUUAUAAGAACAGAACAUUAGCAAUUAAAAAACUUUGAUAUAAGCAGUAAUGAAAAAAUUGAUAAAAGUUGCGUUACAGAAAUUGGGUUUUAUUGGAACUGGAAUAAUCGAGUGCUUUAGAAGAGCAGUAGCAACAAAAAAAGUUUAGAACAUAAGCCAAAAUGAAAAUAUGGGUAAAAGUUGCGUUACUGAAAUUAGGUUUUAUUGGAACUGGAAUAAUCGAGUACUUUUUAACAGCAGUAGCAAUAAAAAUAAUUCAAAAUCAGCAAUAAUGAAAAUAUUAUAGGAAAAAGUUGCUAACAGGAAUGUAUAAGACUAGAGCAACAUCUAUUUUAGUUCAUAACAUGUUCAUGUGUUAAAAACUAAACGAUGACUUCAUAACUACGUAGGCGUUGUGAAUAAUAAAAAUAACCAUAUAACUAAUUGAGGAUGUUUGAGGGAGUCGCUAUACUCGAUUUAAUAAUAAUGACAUGUAACAUGACUUUUAAAAACGUAAUACUAAGCAAUAAGGAAACAAAAAAACCUGUAUUAUUGAAAUUUUCUAUUUUAAAUUCUAUAGAAAUAUUUAUUUUUUGUACUAUUCUUAUCACAUAUCGAAUAAAACAGAAAUAUAAUAAUUCUAUUGAACUUGAAAGCAUUUCUUUGUUUAAAAAUAAUUAUUGAACUCUCCCUUACUUAAACUGUUUCAUAUGUAUAUAUCUUGUAUAUAUUUUAUCAAGUAUUUUGUAUGUAAAUAGUCCCGGAAAUUUCUAUGUUUUAAUGUUACGUUAUACUCAUGCAAUCAUGAAUCAGUUACAUUUUGUCAUUAAAAUUUGUCAUUAUUUUUUAUUAUUACGAAAUAUUGCGCAAUUGUAAUUUAAAUACAAAACCAUCAUAUUUAGGUACUUUAUAUAAUUUUUAUAUUGCUUUGUUGUGCGUAUUAUUUGACUUAAUUUAAAAUAUAUCUAUUACUUCCUCUUCGAUAGACCAUAAAUCAUAAAGAUAUGAUAAUUUGCAUAAAGUUUACAUCAUCAAACAUACUUAUGAGGCGUAUUUUUAAUAUAUAAAUAUUAUAAUAAACAUUAAUAGCAAGCAAGCAUCAGUGGAUGUUUACAUAUAUAUAUAUAUAUAUAUAAUGUGUAAUUAAUAAUUGGAAAUUGAAUUGAUAAAAAAUAUAAAGGCGUAUAAUUUUUUUUUUAAUUACCUAUUCGAUGAAUUUAGAAUGAUGCCCACGAAAAUUUUAUUAUUAUACGUUUAAACAUAUAUGUGAAAUUAUUCCUUGGUAAUAUAACCGUUAACAACCUAUGAAAAUUUAUUGCGUAAUAUUUCUAUACCAACAUAUUGAUAAUAUUUAAUUAUAAUACUAGACAUUAAAGAAACAACUGUAAAGGUACUUAUGACGAUGUGACAAAUACAUAUAUUAAUAUAAUGUAUACCUAUAUUUUACGUGACAAUUAUUAUAUAGAUUUAAGUAAAAACGGAGUGUCACGAAACUGCAUUACGAUCAUGAGUUACUUGACCCGAUGGGGUUGAGCAGUUUUUUUUGAUAUAUCAACUUUUAUGUGCAAUUUUCAGGAAUAUUAUCUGUAUCUUGAUUGAUGGUUGUCGCUUUUUCAACAGACUUAUCGAGUUACGGGCAGGCAGGUCGGUCCGUUAGUCAACGUUGUUACUGGUCCAGUUGACAGCGUCGUUUCUCGUACUUCAUAUUUGGUCCUUGGCAAGGCGUCCGUUGUAGAGAAAUGUCCCUUUAGGGAAUUUUAAAAUAUUCUCUAGAAAGAUAUUUAUUAUAUAUAUUGGAGCUGCAGGCAGGCUUGUUCGCAAUAGGAGUUUUUAAUCAAUAAGAGAUAGACAUCGAAAAUACGUGGAAAAAUACUAAUGUAGUCAGCAUUAAUAUUAAAAAAAAAGUUUUGCUAAAUUUUUACGCGGAUGCAGAAAUCAAAUUUAUCGCUUUUUAAAACGAAACAAAGUUAACCUUCUAAGAUCGUUAUAGAAAGGUAGACCUUUUUUUAUUUAACAUUGUCUCCAAUUAGUAUCGAAACAGGGUAAGAAUAAGGCCUAAUUUAGCAUUUGACAUGCAUUUAUUUGACUCGGAGAACGAUACGUUUGAUAUGAAUUGGAAAAGGUCAGUACGGAUUUAAAGGUGAAUCACUAUUGAGAAUAAAAAAUCCAGGAACGAGAAAAGCCGAAGGUUAGUCGGGCAAAUUGCAUUCGAAAAGUUUUUCUCACAGCUGAUAAGGAUCAUUCAAAUAAAUAAUGUUGAAUUUAUUCGAAAUCGACAAAAAUAUCUGCAGCAUAUAGAAAUAGAAAUCUCUAUAAAGAAAAUCGGUUUUAAUCACAAGGAGGAAGGAUAAAUAUUCCAAAAGGUCUGUCCAUAGUUCCGCUUCGUAAAACAUUUUUAUAUUAAAUAGAAAAUGUGACAAUUCCUUUAUGUUUUAUCUUUGCAGAGUCUUUAAACGUUGCUUUAAUAUUUGUAGCAAUUUGGUAUAUCGGAUUUAAAUAAUAAAAAUUGAGCUAAACGUUUAGAAUAAUACGUUUUAACGUAUCGGAUUGACGAAAUUGAUAUGUAAAUCCUUGAACGGUAUCGAGUUAUACAAAUUUUAGGAUUAAAUAAACCCAACGAUUUGAUUGAUUUCGAGAUUUUAAGAAAACAAGUACUAGUUUAGGAGACUAUUACUAUGAAAGUAUUAUAUACCGAAUCUAGUGGUAUACGGUUGGAAAGAAGUUUAUGUCAAAGAAACAAUUAUUUUUUUAAAACUACGCGUGAGGUAUAGGUACAAAUAUAUCGUCAUGCUGAUAAUCUAGUGGAGAACUUAUUUACCGCUUAACUAAUAUGUAAAUGUGCGUUACGAGUCUAUUGGUACGUAAACCAGAAAGAAAUAAAAAUCCUUAAGCCAAAAAUAGUUAAUGCAACAUGAUUUACACCGAUUUCGCUAUUUCAUAACAAGGUCAGAUAAACAUAAAUGAUGCAAAGGAAACAGGUUAGUUUUGGAAUUAACUGCCUCAAAAAUGCCACAACAAUUUUAUUGGAUACAGACAUAAGAUAAGUAAUAAUUUUGAGAAACUUAGCAAAGUAUGUUCCACCGAACUCGGAAAAUAACAACCGGAUCUUACGGAUUAACAAGUAAUUAUCUAAAUUCUAAAAAUUUAUACACGAGAAGAAAGGUCAGUGCAUAUGUGCAUUUAUGUAUUAAAUAUUUUUGUAUGUAUUUUUUGUGUGUAUAUUAUACUAGCUAUAUUAUUUUUGCUUCGUUCUAUAUUAAUGCUCUUUAACCGGGAAAUAAAAAUUCAGGUAAACAUGCCAUAUUCUUUGAUGUAAAUUAUAUCUCACACCUCAGAAAGGUCACGGAACACACCUAAGCAUGAACCUAUUCACUUUAGCAGGAUAAUUCAUCUAAUUUUUAGGUUAUCAUAAUUUUCUGUAUUAAUUUGCACAUUCUCAAGAAAGAAAAAUAGAAGAGAGAGAAAAUCAAGUAACGAAUAAAGAAAUAUUUCAAGAAUGUAAGAAGAUUAGUUAAAGCUAAUCUAAAUAUUUUAAGUGAUUUAAAUGUGCAGUUUUUACAAGUAUAAUGUUAAUGCAAGUAUAUUGUGGAUAUAGAGGAAAGUUUGAAAUAGUUGAGUGAUGGUUAAUAUGUGGUUGUUUUAAUGUUUGUUUCGAUAUGUUGAAAUAUCACACGCUUUUAUCUGUCAGCCACAUUUAGAAAUAACUAAUAGCAUGAUAGCGGGUAGCUAUUUCAACAUCGUGGAGUUAGUGAGAGUGCUAAUAUUGGUUUCAGUGGUGAAGUUUGAGGAAAGCUUAAGAAGGCUAUAAGCAAUGUUUGUUGUGUUCGUGAAGUGCUUAUUUCAACUUUAUAAAGCAGAGUCUAAUGAAAAACUAAAUUUGCGUUUCGCUUAUAAAACCCAUCACCCCGUAAACACAUGUAGGAAGUUAUCUGUUCACAGAAUUUUACUAUCAUGCUCGCUUGAAACACAAACAUAAUGGAUUUGUAGAAUAAACAAACCCGGUAUGUACGUUGACUAAUGUUCUAAUGACCGAAGGUCUCAAUGGAAAGUCCAAAGCAAGCUUCAGGCACGUGCUUGUCUAGAACUUCAGCAUUUUGUCCCUUAGACCUAGAUCUCGCUAACAGUGUGCUUUCAGAAUUAGACCUGUUCCGCUUUCAAAUUGUGGAUGAGGGAUAGUUUAGAAUUCAUUAAAAUCAGCUGAUACAUGAGGCAAGUUAAACGCCCGGCAAACACACACUUGAGAAAGACAUCGAAACGCGCAAUGGAAUUUCUUCGGUUUAAUUGGUUAUUGGAAAUUUUUCUUAUUAGCUUUUAGUAGAAAUAUCUAAUUCAGGUUUCAAGUGCCGCAAAUCGCUAUUCAGAGAGACCACAUCUUUCUAUGUAAUGUAUAAUGUAACGCUUUGGUAGAAAACAUACCUACACUUAACAUAAGGAAACGGGAGAGGCCAAAAACUACUCUAAAAUGGUAAUACUUGUUAAUGUAUUGCAUGAAAAUUAACUUCACCUUAACACGACUAGUAGAUAGGGAACGGCUUUUAGUAUGUUUCAGAUUUUUACGGCUAAGCUAAUGUCGCACGAGACUGCAUAGAUUAAUGGAAUUUAUCAUAAGCUAGGCAAAAACGCUUUCUCAGCACUCCAUGAAUAUUACACAGGUACUUUCACCAUAAUAGGUUUAGGAACACAAACAUUUUCAAAUGUUUUUCAGAUUCGUUGGAAAGCUCAUCAUUGGUAUUGCACGAUUAUGCUUAAGCAAGUUAAAGGAAAUCACUUAGCGUAAGAUAUUAAGCCGUAUUUUUUUAAUGUUAAUGUUUAGGAUGCUACUAAUGGAUAUUUCAGGAAUUUUUUUUAAAAAUAUAAAAAAUUCAAUAAAAGGCAUUGAAUUCUGUCUAAUAGGAAUAAGAACGAAAUCUAAGGGGCUGUGAUAUCGAAAACAUAAUUUAAACGCUUAACGACUUUUGUCGACGCGAUGUAGAUUUUAAGUAAGUAAUGACAUAUAUUAUAUUUUUCAAAUCGAGAAUUGGUUAGGGUGCAACUAACUUGUUUCAGAUAAACUUUAUAUACCUGAAGAUCACCAAUUGACUGAAGUAAUUUAUUAUAAAUUUUUGGAAUUGUACAUGAAUCUCAUAACGCGAACCCAAUGAAAGAAAACGAAUUAAAUAAUUAUUAUAUACUAUGAAACAUGUUUUCCUAAAAUAAAAUAAUGUAUAAUAUAAUUUUAAAAAUGGCAACUGGUUUUCUUUUAUUUGAUAUGUAUUCGCAGAAGUCGGUUUUUUUUCUCUCUUUAUUUACAGACAUCUGGAUCAUAGCGAUCACAUCACGGCGUCACGUUACCUUCAUGUAAUAACGUUUGACUUUAAUUCUGUAUAUAUAUAUUGCAAUUUAUAUUACCUAGGUUACGGCUCGAAUAAUGAACAUGUUUCAGAUAAUAAGGAGCGGUAUGGCCGCGUAAUUUUUUUUUUCUUCUAACACUGUUCCCAGAUUUGUUAUCUAUAUCAGAAAUCGGCUAGGCGACGCGAGCCCAGCCAAACAUGUUUAGCCUCCAAGGCAGAUUAGGUAAACAUAUUGAACUGUACAUUAAUGACAAUUUCUAUUAUGAAACUCGUAAUUUAUAAAAGGAAUUAAAAUAUUAUCGUACGUAUGUUUUUAUUGAUUAUUAGUACUAUUAGUACUAGGUAGGGUGCAAUUAAUUCCAAUGUUUCAGAGGAAAACUGCGCGUUCCUCGAACCGCGGCCCCGCCGGGAUAAAUUAAUUUCCGAAAAAUUGGUUUAAAAUCUGUUUGCAGAAAUCCUGUCUGAAGGUUGAGGCGAUUACGAAUUAAGGCUGUACAGUCGAUACUGUAAGUUAGGAUGAUAGCCAUUAAAAUAACCAACAUUUUUAUUGAUUAAACGUUAGGCACUAAUCACUGGAUAACCCGACAAAGGUACUAGUGUGUAAGCACACAAGCCCGUUAUUUUGCUAUGUUCACAGAAACCCUGAAAGGUUAAGGAAAUAUUCGACAUCACGGUAAAUUAGGUAAAAGUUUUUUUUUACUGCAACCGCAAUCUUUGAAAUCUUAUGUUAGGUUAGGAUGCCAUUAAUUCAAAUGUUUCAGAUAGUUGCAUCGAUUUGCUGGGGCUUGAAUGGUAGAUACAAUUACAUUAUUUGCAGAAAUCGGUUUAAUAGUUUUUCGCAGAAAUCCUGAGGUGCAAGCACAGUAUCCGGUACUGUAAGUCACGAAAACCCCCACUUUUGCGCUUUAACCUAUGCUAUAGGGCUUUAGCGUAAGCAAAAAUCGUUUGUCUUUAUGUUCACAGAAAUCCCGAAGCUUAUAAAAGCAUGCAUUUUACGAUGACGCAUAAUAGAGUUCAUGAUACUGUGAGUUAUUUAGCCCCUAACGCUACUAGUAUGUGUAGGGAUCUAGUAUAAGGCAAAAUCGGUUUUGACAAUGUUCACAGUAUUCCGGUUUCCCAAGGAUAGAGUCCCAGACAUUUGACGUGUUCAGGCGACAAACGAUCCACAGUGCUGUAAGUGACACAGAAGUUAUUGGUAGGGAAUAUUAUAAGCAGAAAUCGUUUUCUCAAAUGUUCACAGAAAUCAUGCAGGAUUUAUUGGCGAUCAGGCAGUAAACCGUUCUCUUGUCUGUAAGUCACGUUACUAUAUGCCUAUAGGCUAUCAUUAGCUAGGCAACACUAGCAUAAGCAAAAACGAUAAUUAAAAUGUUCACAGAAAUCCUGAGGGAUGUACGGGGCAAUCAUUUGACAUGUUCGGGCUGCAAUACAGUCCCCGGUACUGUAAGUUACGAACCCUCCUUUAACAUAAUCCUCAUUUAACGGCAUUGUUACUAGUAGGGCCAAAUUUGCAGAAAUGCGGAAUUUUUCUGUGCUUUCAGAAAGCGAGCGGAGAUGAGCGAAUCAAACUGCACGUUCGGAUUCUUGGUAAUAUGUAUAUAUUUAGAAGCUUUAAUUAGGUGUAGGUAGUUAUAUCGCAGAUGUCGUUGUUUUGAAUGCUUGCAGAAAUCCUGUAACUGAGCAUAUCGAGUUCCUGUGUCGAGCGUCGCGAAACACAGGAAUAAAGGUAUCCGAAAAUAUCUUUAGCCUAAAUAUUUGCAUGUAGGACGUGUUCUUUUUAGUUUGUUUCAGAUUGCCCCCUUAGCGUUGUUAGAGUAGCGAUACCAGUGAUGUCCCGUGAAAGGUUAUGUCUAUGUAUUUAUUAACGUUAAAAAACCAACAAGAAAAUUGAAUGUUGCAGUGGUUUCAUCAAUCCAGUUAGAUCCAUCGCAAUGUGUGUAAGAAUUACUACUAAGACCUUGAUUGAACUGUAUUUUCGCAGCGCUGAAUGUAUUAGAAUAGAUGUAGUCGUAGGAGUAGGGAUUACAAAUUUCUCUUGCAGGGUGUUUUCGUACGGAUAUUCGUAAACCCAGCCUAUACAAAAUGUAUGUAAAUAAACGUUUACCACUUCCGAAAUUAAUCCUAAGCACGAGCACGAUAAUCACGAAAAAGGCCAAAUGGGAACAUAUAAGUAGUAGAUAAUGUUUAGUUGGAUGGUACAUGAUUCGUGAUUGUUAGAGGUUUGUUUUAGUUUCGUGUGCAAACUAAUCUUGGGCUUAACUUGUGGUGGCAUAAGGGAAAUUUAAACUCUAAUUGGCAUAACUAAAGCAAUUAUUUUGCCGUUAAUGUUUUCGUUUGCUUUGCAUUCAACUUCUUUCGCCACCUACACUUAAUGUACCUUGUCUUUAAUCGAGCUAGUCUAGGUUAGUGUUACGUUUUGAUGAUUUCAGCACGUAGCAACAAGAGCUGUGGCUAACGUUAUUGACAUGUGCAAUUUAGUCUAAGCAUGAAGCUUGAAUGGUUCAUGGUAUCAAAACAAUUCUGCCGACAAAUCCAGCUUGUGUGGUGCAUCGUAUACAAAUCUGAUUUUAUGUAUGUAUUUCAAUAAUGCACAUAACAUUUUGUUAACGCCAAAAUCAUGUAAAUCACCACACUCUUAUGAUAUGUGUGCUUGAUAUUGAAGUGUCAUCGGUAUGUUAUAUACUUCAUUUCUUCGUGUUUACCUUCAUGUCUUCGCUAUAGACCGCUUCAGUCGCAGACACUACCACACAAGUUUAGUGUUAUGCUCUAUUUCUGAUUUUGUCCUAGUUAAUUGUGUGUUUUUAAAGUUUUAAUAUAUUUGUUUGAUUAUGUAUAUUAUAGCUUUGAAUCAUUCUUACAAUUAGGUAUUUCACUGUUAAUUUUAAUGCUAUCGUUUAUUAUAUUUUAAUUACAAUGUGUUAACACUAAAUCCUGGUGUAUUGCAAGGUUUUGUUUGUCUCACUUUGAUAGAUUUGUUUAUCCAAUCAUCCAAAUGUGCAUAUGCACGUGUAAGCUGUUUUUUUAAUAAAAGCUAUAAUUUUAUCUAUUCGUUCUAUGUUUAAUAUUUUUAAUGCCAUAUUUGAUAACAACUGACAUUUAAGCUAAAUGGUAUCUAUAAUAUAUAUUUUUUUACAGGAACUAUUAGUAUUCAUAAUUAAUACAAUUCUAAAAUGUACGACCAUUAAAUUGAUUAUUUUAGUGUAAAUAUUAUUAGGUUUUCUAUAGCAGUAGGUAGGAAACAUAUAGACAACUAAUUUUAUACAUUUGAGACUAUAAAAUCACUUAGGAACUUAUGUAUAUCCGGGCGAUGACAUAGGUAGGGAGCUUCACAAAAUAACUUUAUUUUGUAUUGCAUUGAACUGUAAUUUUAAAUAAAAAAUGUGAUUCCUGUGGAGUUUCUUGCGCCGCUUCUUCUCCACAGAAGGACACUUUCCGAAGCGGUGGUAGUUUUAACAAAAAUAAUAUUUUUAAAACGAUAAAUCAAUAAUUUUAAAAACAAUGAAUAAAUAUUUUAAAACUA